UAAGCCGGAUUCUGUUUCUAUUCCUAUCAUUUAUCUAGGAUAAUAGUUACCCAUUAUCUCUAUCUGCCUACCCCCCGGUAUCAACCGAGCAAGUUUUCCGGUAUACAUGGCAUUUCACCGUACAGAGUUUACAUGAUUUCACUACAGCUAAACUGUACUUUCUUUCUGUUGCACUAUUCCUCACCUUACAGUGGAUGGGUGUUACCCAUUGUACUGCUCUAUGGUGUCCGGACUUUCCUC
Molecule: non-coding RNA, 240 nt
Filed under: Blattabacterium sp. (Mastotermes darwiniensis) str. MADAR
Lineage: Bacteria; Pseudomonadati; Bacteroidota; Flavobacteriia; Flavobacteriales; Blattabacteriaceae
Source: RNAcentral